CUGAAGACUCUGCUUGACUAGCUGAGAGGAGGUGCAUGGCCGUCGUCAGUUCGUACUGUGAAGCAUCCUGUUAAGUCAGGCAACGAGCGAGACCCACGCCAACAGUUGCCAGCAUGUCCUCGGGAUGAUGGGGACACUGUUGGGACCGCCUCUGCGUAAAGAGGAGGAAGGAAUGGGCAACGGUAGGUCAGCAUGCCCCGAAUUAUCCGGGCUACACGCGGGCUACAAUGGUCAGGACAAUGGGUAUCGACACCGAGAGGUGGAGGCAAUCUCCUAAACCCAUCCGUAGUUCGGAUUGUGGGCUGCAACUCGCCCACAUGAAGCUGGAAUCUGUAGUAAUCGUGUCUCAAAAUGGCACGGUGAAUAUGUCCCUGCUCCUU
This 380-nucleotide ribosomal RNA is filed under the name uncultured Methanolinea sp. Its description in RNAcentral is "bacterial SSU rRNA". It matches the Rfam family "Archaeal small subunit ribosomal RNA", at positions 959 to 1338 of the family's 1478-position model. The record is from RNAcentral. Lineage: Archaea; Methanobacteriati; Methanobacteriota; Methanomicrobia; Methanomicrobiales; Methanoregulaceae.